Danio rerio (zebrafish) is the source of this 475-nucleotide non-coding RNA. The record is from Ensembl. NCBI's taxonomy places the organism in Eukaryota, Metazoa, Chordata, Actinopteri, Cypriniformes, Danionidae.
UUGGUUAAUGAACGUAGUAAUAUGGCGCCUUUCAAUCUGUUGUCUAAAACAAGAUGCUUACCAAAUGGACCCAUGAGACUCGAUCAAGUUGUUGUCAGCACAAAGAUGUUUGUGGCCAAACCAACGUGCAAACCCCUUGUCAAGUGGACACCAGCUCUAAAGCGAGCACUGACAGAGAGCACUGGAGAGUUUCUCUGGGAUUAUGAAUAAACCCUUGGAAUGCACUGGCUGGUUUUACACGGCUCCUCCACUGCCUAGUGCCACGUUUCACAGUGGCAACAGUGAAAGAAAUAUUUCACAGGAUCAAUGCGAAUCAGUCUCAUGCUCUCCACUCCUUCAUGACCACCACAGCAUCUGUUCAGGAUACGGCCUGGUCCAGGAUUAUGGAGACCUCUAGAAAUAAUAAUUCAGGAGGGCUAAUACUUCUGACUUCAAGUGUAAAUUGUUUGAGUUGCAAUUUCAAAACUUCUAGACA